RNAcentral lists this ribosomal RNA (380 nucleotides) under uncultured bacterium. RNAcentral describes it as "bacterial SSU rRNA". It matches the Rfam family "Bacterial small subunit ribosomal RNA", at positions 28 to 409 of the family's 1533-position model. The record is from RNAcentral.
GACGAACGCUGGCGGCGUGCUUAACACAUGCAAGUCGAGCGGUAAGGCCCUUUCGGGGGUACACGAGCGGCGAACGGGUGAGUAACACGUGGGUGACCUGCCCUCAGCUCUGGGAUAAGCCUGGGAAACCGGGUCUAAUACUGGAUAUGACUCCAUGGCGCAUGUUGUGGGGUGGAAAGCCUUGUGCGGCUGAGGAUGGGCCCGCGGCCUAUCAGCUUGUUGGUGGGGUGANGGCCUACCAAGGCGACGACGGGUAGCCGGCCUGAGAGGGCGACCGGCCACACUGGGACUGAGACACGGCCCAGACUCCUACGGGAGGCAGCAGUGGGGAAUCUUGCGCAAUGGGCGAAAGCCUGACGCAGCGACGCCGCGUGAGGGAU